GACGAACGCUGGCGGCGUGCCUAACACAUGCAAGUCGAGCGGGGUCCAUCCGGUAGCAAUACCGGGGAAGACCUAGCGGCGAACGGUGAGUAACACGUGAGAAACCUGCCCCGAAGUCUGGGAUAACCCGAGGAAACUCGAGCUAAUACCGGAUGUCUUCUUCUGAUCGCAUGGUCGGAUGAGGAAAGAUUUAUCGCUUCGGGAGGGUCUCGCGGCCUAUCAGCUAGUUGGCGGGGUAACGGCCCACCAAGGCGUCGACGGGUAGCUGGUCUGAGAGGACGAUCAGCCACACUGGGACUGAGACACGGCCCAGACUCCUACGGGAGGCAGCAGUGGGGAAUAUUGCGCAAUGGGCGAAAGCCUGACGCAGCAACGCCGCGUGCGGGAUGAAGGCC
RNAcentral lists this ribosomal RNA (395 nucleotides) under uncultured bacterium. RNAcentral's name for it is "bacterial SSU rRNA". It matches the Rfam family "Bacterial small subunit ribosomal RNA", at positions 28 to 416 of the family's 1533-position model. The record is from RNAcentral.